This 306-nucleotide unclassified non-coding RNA is filed under the name uncultured fungus. Its description in RNAcentral is "sequence contains ITS2". Lineage: Eukaryota; Fungi. The record is from RNAcentral.
AACGCAUCUUGCGCUUCUUGGUAUUCUGAGAAGCAUGCCUGUUUGAGUGUCAUGAAAUUCUCAAAUCUUUAUUGGCUUUGAAAAACAAAUCUAAUAAGUUUUUGGAUAGUUGAGAAUUGCUGAAUUUUGUGAAAAAGUCAGCUUUCUUUAAAUAUAUUAGCAAGAUUAUAACUGAUCAUCAAUGGUAUAAUAAUUAUCUAUACUAUGACAGAUUGGAUUUUUUUUUGUAUUUUGCUUCUAAUUGUCUUAAAGACAAUCAAUGACAACUUUGACCUCAAAUCAGGUAGGAUUACCCGCUGAACUUAA